UACAGAGGUCUCAAGCGUUGUUCGGAUUCAUUGGGCGUAAAGGGUGCGUAGGCGGUGCGGUAAGUCGGGUGUGAAAUCUUGGAGCUUAACUCCGAAACUGCAUUCGAUACUGCCGUGCUUGAGGACUGGAGAGGAGACUGGAAUUUACGGUGUAGCGGUGAAAUGCGUAGAUAUCGUAAGGAAGACCAGUGGCGAAGGCGGGUCUCUGGGCCGAUACUGACGCUGAGGAGCGAAAGCGUGGGGAGCGAACAGG
RNAcentral lists this ribosomal RNA (253 nucleotides) under uncultured bacterium. Its description in RNAcentral is "partial 16S ribosomal RNA". It matches the Rfam family "Bacterial small subunit ribosomal RNA", at positions 524 to 776 of the family's 1533-position model. The record is from RNAcentral.